This is a long non-coding RNA of Hyalella azteca, 2835 nucleotides long. RefSeq lists it as uncharacterized. The record is from RefSeq and is a predicted model, not a curated record. NCBI's taxonomy places the organism in Eukaryota, Metazoa, Arthropoda, Malacostraca, Amphipoda, Hyalellidae. The transcript is spliced from 5 exons.
UUGAACUGAUGUGAUGUCCCUUAUGAAAUGGAUAAGACAAUGUAACUAGAAAGUCUAAUCCAUGAAUUCUAUUUCAGCCAUGUAGUUCAUCGGCAGCCAUAGUAGUGACUGGCGCAGGUGGCUUACUUGAUGUCGUAAUAUCUUAGUUUUGACUAUACACUUGUUAAUGUGAUACUAGCUAAAAUGAAAGUUAACAGCCGACUUGCAUUAUGUGUUCACGUCACUUGUAAUUGCUAGGUGAUAAAGCGAUGCAUUAUUUGUGGAAGUUGCCCCUCAGAAGGGAUUUAUGACACGUGCCUGUACUCGUCAGAUGUCCUAUGAGAUUCCUCUGUCCUAUGCGCAUUGUUCCUCAACGCCCCAAUGUAAUGCCAGACAGCUCGCGGGUAUCAGUUGUGUGGUUCAGGUGUUAUGUAGGUAGCCUAUGGUAGGAUUCCUUGUAUUUCGCUUCUCUGUCUCCCAUGCGUGCGGUCGAUGUCUCGUUAUAAGCAAACUAUUGUUAGGGUCUUUGUGUCUGUUGGACUGUUGCUUGUCAUCUGUACCUAUACGCACAGCCGUCUCUUUGACAUGCUGACACUGCUUCGUUUGAGUCAAUUUUAUCGGGAUGGAGACCUUCCGCCUUGCUUCAUGGGUUGACAAUUGACCUGCAGCGUGAAUUUGCUUGCAAUUUGAACCGUUAGCAAACCAUCCUACUACUACUGCUACUACUACAAUUCUAAACUUGCGUUUAUUUUGCAGUUUCAUUGUCGACCUUAUAUUAGCUUGAAUCUUCCUGCCAAUUUAAAAUUUUGGCAUCCUCGCCUCCACUUGCUGCAAACAGCGGCGUCCACCGUCCGAUUAGAUGGUGCCUUGGUGUCUUUUGGGCAGAAUAACGGCGUCCUCGACCUAUGUUGUGCCAUACUCUACAGACUGGUGCAUCACUGGGUUUCAAUAUCAAUUCUAUAUAUACUCACACUGAUGACUGAUUGAGUGUCAGUAAAGCACUCAGUAAUCAGUAAUGAGUGACUUUGAUCCAUAAAUGCAAUAUAUAGCCCCUGUGGCUUUAAGUCCACCCAGCGUGGACACCCAGAAAAGAAGAAGAAGAUUCCGGAGUUUCAUAGCAUAUAGUUCAUCCUGGCGUACGCGUACAUACUUACCUGGAAUACCUUAGUUUUUUUUUUUUUUUUUUAUUGGCAUACACUCAUUGUUUUAUUGGCGUACACUCAGCCAUGCUGCGUUGAAGCCUCAGGCGUACGCGCUGCACCAUCCUGGUUGGAGGUGUGCGCUCAAAAUCAUAUGCGGAUGAAAAUUCAUUAAAUGGUGCACCUGCAGGUCCUCCUGAUGUGACGAUGUUUAACAUGUUCCUUGUGUGUAAGUGCAUGCAUUUGCACCCUCCAGCUGAUAUGUGUAAGAUGCUGUUUAUUUGAUGCAGCUGAGUGUGUUUAUUGGAAAAAAUGGUUACUGGACCAAGACCACCAAAUUCUGGCCAUGCUGUGGCGGAGGUGGCCGGGGGGUGGACGUGUGGUGAAUUUGGAGUUGGCGCGCGCGCGCGCGAAAGCGAUUUAAAAAGGAUGAGCAUGGAUUGCUUUGAUGAGUUUAGGACUUUGUAGUCCAAUGUCAAGCUGAUGCUCCGCUAUGGUCGUCCUACGUCUCCGAGUCGUCGCUAGGCAGAUUUCUCCCCGCCCUCGAAUACCGCGGAUGUAACGUUGAACGUGUAUUUUGCGUCUGUUUUGCUCUCCUUUGGGCCAGCUGACGCAAGAUGUUGUUUGAUUGUCACAUGCUGAGGGUAGUUUUUUCCAUAAGUGGACAAUCCGAGAUCUUCUUCAGGAACUUAUCCAGUUGUCUUUUGAAAGUCUCAAUGGUAAUAAAAUCCUCCCUCUCUUCUCAGCACCUUUGGUUCAAACAGCCUUGGUGGUAGUCCUACCACGGACAGGAGUGAUCCCUCACGAAGAUUUUCAACUCUGGCCGCGGCUCUGUUAUUGAAUGAAGGAAUUGUGCACAGUGUCCCACACGCGCUUUAGUUGUAACACUUCACAAAUUUGGAGGCUUCCUAACACCAAGACAAGAAGCUGUAGUUAUUGGAGACUCGAGCGAGAUAUCGAGAGCGAGGCUAGGGUGUGAAGAGGGAAGAGAGAUGUCACAGAGUACCUCCUGAGUACUCUGAGUCACAGAGUACCACAGGAAACGAUACUGGGCCCAACCUCAUUCACAUCGGCGACAUAGAUAUGAAAGUGAUUCAUGCCACUGCAUCGUCAUUCGGGGGCGGAUGAAAAAGAAGGAGGAGGCACGGUGCGCGCCCGAUCCAUCGUGGCCUGGGACUGCUAUACGUCCGAAACAAAUACUAAGGCAUGACAGUCCUGUCACACACCACACUCGUGCUCGGCCAUGCUGCUGUGUAGUUGUUUGUUGCCCGGCUGUAAGUUGUGUCCGUGUGUUUUUUGGCCUGCCACGGGAGGAACGACGGGUUGCACCGGAAGGCUCCAUCCACCAAGAAGAGGUCCGGAUGUCGGAUAGACCUGGCGGCACAGUAUUGCUACGUGGAGAGGCGCAGUUGUCGGGAAGAAGAGAGUGUGAUUGUGUCUCUGUAUUCACACAAACACACACGACGAUGAAGAAUAAUUCUUCUCUAACCUGAUGUCAGUAGCGCGAUGUGUGCAUCUUGCCGGCGUCACUGUGUGCGCGCCAACAAAUAUCAUCUGAAGAAGCAUUUAUUUAAUAAAAAAUGUUGUUUGAGUGUGGGACUAGCGAGAAAUGUGACGACAAACGAGCAGAGUGUCGUGAUACAAGAGCUAUCUGUCUGUUGUUGUAAUUGUCCAUCCUGGUAGUGGCGACUAGGGAGGGGGUGAUAGGCCAGUUUUU